RNAcentral lists this long non-coding RNA (233 nucleotides) under Linum usitatissimum (flax). RNAcentral's name for it is "long non-coding RNA (LUSI_LNC000388)". Lineage: Eukaryota; Viridiplantae; Streptophyta; Magnoliopsida; Malpighiales; Linaceae. The record is from RNAcentral.
UGGAUGUUUAGAAAUUUGAACUUAAACCCUAAACCCGAACGGCGGGCAAGGAACACCGUUUGAAUGGUGAAAUUGGUGAGGGCUCAAUUACGUCGCUCAUUUGCGAUCAUAAUAUCCUACUUAUUUACACGAGGUCCAGGUUUGCCUCGGUGAGAAGUGAAUCGAACAAUAUGGAGGAACUUGCUUGACAUUGUUGGGUUAACCAGGAGGCCACUUCAUCUGUCUUCCACCCA